UACAGAGGGUGCGAGCGUUAAUCGGAAUUACUGGGCGUAAAGCGUGCGUAGACGGUCAAGUAAGUCGGGUGUGAAAGCCCCGGGCCCAACCUGGGAAUUGCAUUCGAGACUGCGUGGCUAGGGUGCGGAAGAGGGAAGCGGAAUUUCCGGUGUAGCGGUGAAAUGCGUAGAUAUCGGAAGGAACACCAGUGGCGAAAGCGGCUUCCUGGUCCAGCACCGACGUUCAGGCACGAAAGCGUGGGGAGCAAACAGG
Molecule: ribosomal RNA, 253 nt
Filed under: uncultured bacterium
Lineage: Bacteria
Description: partial 16S ribosomal RNA
Rfam family: Bacterial small subunit ribosomal RNA
Source: RNAcentral